Molecule: unclassified non-coding RNA, 87 nt
Filed under: Pseudomonas yamanorum
Lineage: Bacteria; Pseudomonadati; Pseudomonadota; Gammaproteobacteria; Pseudomonadales; Pseudomonadaceae
Source: RNAcentral
UGUGGGAGCUGGCUUGCCUGCGAUGCAGACGACUCGGUCUGUCUAUAAAACCGAGUCGAUGCUAUCGCAGGCAAGCCAGCUCCCACA